UACGUAGGGUGCAAGCGUUGUCCGGAAUUAUUGGGCGUAAAGAGCUCGUAGGCGGUCUGUUGCGUCGGCUGUGAAAACCCGAGGCUCAACCUCGGGCCUGCAGCCGAUACGGGCAGACUAGAGUUCGGCAGGGGAGACUGGAACUCCUGGUGUAGCGGUGAAAUGCGCAGAUAUCAGGAGGAACACCGGUGGCGAAGGCGGGUCUCUGGGCCGAUACUGACGCUGAGGAGCGAAAGCGUGGGGAGCGAACAGG
RNAcentral lists this ribosomal RNA (253 nucleotides) under uncultured bacterium. RNAcentral describes it as "partial 16S ribosomal RNA". It matches the Rfam family "Bacterial small subunit ribosomal RNA", at positions 524 to 776 of the family's 1533-position model. The record is from RNAcentral.